GACAGCAAGCAUCUUGACUUGGCAGUGGGGGAACAAUGUACUAAAAGGAACCAAGAUGAAAAUGAGGAGUAAACUUUAGCGAGGCACAUACUGAGGUGGAACUGAAAAGGAACUGAGCUACAGGUGCUCUGUUGCCCAAGAUACCAAGCAUGCUCUGCACGUGAAGGGCAGAGCUUCAGAGUGCCUAUGGGAACUAUGAAAUCCUUCUGUGGAGCUUGAUAAUAUUCCAUAAAUAUAAAGAGGUCUCCAGUAUUCAAGUUUACAGAAAUGUUACUGCUUUUUGAGAAAGUGUAAGGACACAGUCAACUUCCCAAAGUGGGGCACUGCAGGUCUAACAACACAGCUGAUACAACCUACUAAGAUUGGAGUCAAAUGACCCAGUAUUCGACGAGCAUUAACUCUAGGAGUAGAGAGCUCCCUCAGCCUAAGACCUAUGGCUUUUACACAUUCCUAACCACUAGCUCCCAGGAAACCCCUUUGAUUAGCCCCUGUGGGUUCAACCAGCUGGCUGGCAAGGGACCUUAAGGUGGGGGCAAGCCAUUGUACUCCAGACGUGCAGAGCUUAGAGGCUGGCCCAUGGGUCAUGCCCUCCUCCCACCCCUUCUUGAGGAGGCUGAUGGGGUACCCAACCCCAGGGAGGAAACUGCUAGGUACCUGCUCCAGCAGGAAAUCACCCAUCAGCAAAGGAAGGAAAAGGCAAGACUACACCAGAGCUGAAGAUCCACUGGAAUCAGUGUGAGGUAGACAAAGUGGCAAGGAAAGAUGAGGACUGUGAUGGAACAUGCUAUGGGACUGGAAGCUGGGCAGUCUGCCUGCUGUCAAUUACUGUCAUGUUUGUACAGGCUAAAAUAAACCAGGUUUCCAGCUGAUCCCCCGCACCUCUGGUUUCAUUAAUGGAUCCUGGGCAACCCCAAAGGCCCUUCGAUGUGGAAAUACCCCCUGGGGGGGAAGAAGGAUGCAACACCUCCUCACUAAGUGUGGGUGACUAAAAACUGCUUUCAGGUAGUGUACUGCUUUCAGGAAUGAACAGAGAAGGGAGCAAGAACCCUUGCAUUGCAGCAAGCGUGGAGGAUGAGAAGGAACUGAAAGGGAAAGCAUUCUCCCACCUAUUUUACUGGGCACUCCCUUGCCCUCAGAAUGCUGGAGAGUGCAUAUUGGAGCUACGAAUUCCUCCAUGGAGCUACUGCGCAGGCACAGAAGAUCCAGUUGUGAGGGAAAAUGGAUAAACUCAGAGAUUAGUAGCUUCACACACUGCAGAAAAACACUCUGGUGUACUGCCAUUUUCAAAGGAAGACUCACACAUCAUCAUGCAAGAGUCCUCAUAAAAAUGGUUCCUCCGCCUAUAACAAAAAUAAAGUAGCCACCUACAAA
Molecule: long non-coding RNA, 1371 nt
Organism: Hemicordylus capensis (graceful crag lizard)
Lineage: Eukaryota; Metazoa; Chordata; Lepidosauria; Squamata; Cordylidae
Exons: 3
Source: RefSeq, a predicted model, not a curated record